Oncorhynchus tshawytscha (Chinook salmon) is the source of this 537-nucleotide long non-coding RNA. The record is from Ensembl. Lineage: Eukaryota; Metazoa; Chordata; Actinopteri; Salmoniformes; Salmonidae.
GGGUGAGAGGUAUAGUAUCUCUGAUAUACAGGGGGUGAGAGGUAUAGUAUCUCUGAUAUACAGGGGUGAGAGGUAUACUAUCUCUGAUAUACAGGUGGUGAGAGGUAUAGUAUCUCUGAUAUACAGGGGGUGAGAGGUAUACUAUCUCUGAUAUACAGGGGGUGAGAGGUAUAGUAUCUCUGAUAUAGAGGGGGUGAGAGGUAUAGUAUCUCUGAUAUAUAUGGUGAGAGGUAUAGUAUCUCUGAGAAACAGGGGGUGUGAGUUAUAGUAUCUCUGAUCUAUAUGGUGAGAGGUAUCGUAUCUCUGAUAUACAGGGGGUGAGAGGUAUAGUAUCUCUGAUAUACAGGGGGUGAGAGGUAUAGUAUCUCUGAUCUAUAUGGUGAGAGGUAUAGUAUCUCUGAUAUACAGGGGGUGAGAGGUAUAGUAUCUCUGAUAUACAGGGGGUGAGAGGUAUACUAUCUUUGAUAUACAGGGGGUGAGAGGUAUAGUAUCUCUGAUAUAUAUGGUGAGAGGUAUAGUAUCUCUGAUAUACAGGGG